GGGGAAAAAGAAGGCAAGCCCGUUCUGGACAGACGGCGGCGGGGACACCUGCAGCUCUGGAACGGCAGUGACUACAGAUGACAACACUCAACAGCAGUCCAAGAAAUUUCCUGCAAUCCUGUCGAAGAGCCUUCAUUUUUCUUGGCUGCGAAGUGUGACUUUGUGAAAGAAGUCGUUAUUGUCCGAGGAGUGAGGCGGGUCGAGUCGCGGCUGCAGGAAGACGCAGCCCAGAGCGAUGGCCUCGAUGGGCG
Long non-coding RNA from Syngnathus acus (greater pipefish), 251 nucleotides. RefSeq lists it as uncharacterized. The transcript is spliced from 3 exons. Lineage: Eukaryota; Metazoa; Chordata; Actinopteri; Syngnathiformes; Syngnathidae. The record is from RefSeq and is a predicted model, not a curated record.